RNAcentral lists this ribosomal RNA (253 nucleotides) under uncultured bacterium. RNAcentral describes it as "partial 16S ribosomal RNA". It matches the Rfam family "Bacterial small subunit ribosomal RNA", at positions 524 to 776 of the family's 1533-position model. The record is from RNAcentral.
UACGGAGGAUCCAAGCGUUAUCCGGAAUCAUUGGGUUUAAAGGGUCCGUAGGCGGUCUUGUAAGUCAGUGGUGAAAGCCCAUCGCUCAACGGUGGAACGGCCAUUGAUACUGCAGGACUUGAAUUAUUGGGAAGUAACUAGAAUAUGUAGUGUAGCGGUGAAAUGCUUAGAGAUUACAUGGAAUACCAAUUGCGAAGGCAGGUUACUACCAAUGGAUUGACGCUGAUGGACGAAAGCGUGGGUAGCGAACAGG